GAUGAACGCUGGCGGCGUGCCUAAUACAUGCAAGUCGAGCGAACGGACGAGAAGCUUGCUUCUCUGAUGUUAGCGGCGGACGGGUGAGUAACACGUGGAUAACCUACCUAUAAGACUGGGAUAACUUCGGGAAACCGGAGCUAAUACCGGAUAAUAUUUUGAACCGCAUGGUUCAAAAGUGAAAGACGGUCUUGCUGUCACUUAUAGAUGGAUCCGCGCUGCAUUAGCUAGUUGGUAAGGUAACGGCUUACCAAGGCAACGAUGCAUAGCCGACCUGAGAGGGUGAUCGGCCACACUGGAACUGAGACACGGUCCAGACUCCUACGGGAGGCAGCAGUAGGGAAUCUUCCGAAUGGGCGAAAGCCUGACGGAGCAACGCCGCGUGAGUGAUGAAGGUCUUCGGAUCGUAAAACUCUGUUAUUAGGGAAGAACAUAUGUGUAAGUAACUGUGCACAUCUUGACGGUACCUAAUCAGAAAGCCACGGCUAACUACGUG
This 496-nucleotide ribosomal RNA is filed under the name uncultured bacterium. RNAcentral describes it as "partial 16S ribosomal RNA". It matches the Rfam family "Bacterial small subunit ribosomal RNA", at positions 28 to 507 of the family's 1533-position model. The record is from RNAcentral.